AUUGAACGCUGGCGGCAGGCCUAACACAUGCAAGUCGAGCGGAUGAAAGGGGCUUGCUCCUGGAUUCAGCGGCGGACGGGUGAGUAAUACGCAGGAAUCUACCUAGUAGUGGGGGAUAACGUUUCGAAAGGGACGCUAAUACCGCAUACGUUCUGAGGAAGAAAGCAGGGGAUCGUAAGACCUUGCGCUAUUAGAUGAGCUUGCGUCCGAUUAGCUAGUUGGUGGGGUAAAGGCCUACCAAGGCGACGAUCGGUAACUGGUCUGAGAGGAUGAUCAGUCACACUGGAACUGAGACACGGUCCAGACUCCUACGGGAGGCAGCAGUGGGGAAUAUUGGACAAUGGGGGCAACCCUGAUCCAGCCAUGCCGCGUGUGUGAAGAAGGCCUCGGUUGUAAG
This 397-nucleotide ribosomal RNA is filed under the name uncultured bacterium. Its description in RNAcentral is "bacterial SSU rRNA". It matches the Rfam family "Bacterial small subunit ribosomal RNA", at positions 30 to 429 of the family's 1533-position model. The record is from RNAcentral.